AUACGGAGGGUCCAAGCGUUAUCCGGAAUCAUUGGGUUUAAAGGGUCCGCAGGCGGUCAACUAAGUCAGAGGUGAAAGCCCAUCGCUCAACGAUGGAACUGCCUUUGAUACUGGUUGACUUGAGUUAUACGGAAGUAGAUAGAAUAAGUAGUGUAGCGGUGAAAUGCAUAGAUAUUACUUAGAAUACCGAUUGCGAAGGCAGUCUACUACGUAUAUACUGACGCUGAGGGACGAAAGCGUGGGGAGCGAACAGGAUUAGAAACCCUAGUAGUCC
Molecule: ribosomal RNA, 274 nt
Filed under: uncultured bacterium
Lineage: Bacteria
Description: partial 16S ribosomal RNA
Rfam family: Bacterial small subunit ribosomal RNA
Source: RNAcentral